Molecule: ribosomal RNA, 468 nt
Filed under: Triticum aestivum (bread wheat)
Lineage: Eukaryota; Viridiplantae; Streptophyta; Magnoliopsida; Poales; Poaceae
Description: partial small subunit ribosomal RNA
Source: RNAcentral
AUGCGGGAUCAGGUCGGCAUCGACCUGGAUGGCUUCCCCCUCGACCACGAGUUCCCGGACGACUACGGGCUAGAGGAAGAGGAUGAGUGCGACAUCGAAGUGGAGCCUUUGUUCGAGAACGAGCUCGCCAACCAAGUCGCCGGUCCUAAGCCGAAGCACAAGAGCAAGCACACGAAGGCAUACACGGCGGCUGAGGACAAGCUUCUUUGCGAGUGUUGGCGAGACAUUGGACAAGACCCCAAGACGGGUGCCGAGCAAAAGCAUUCAACCUUUUGGAUUCGUGUCCACUGAGAGUUUCAUGAACGCAAAAAGUUUCCGCCUUACCAAUUUGUGAGCAUGCGCGGGUGGGUCUCCAUUUCCAAGCGGUGGAGGGUGAUCCAACAAGAGUGCAACAAGUUUUGCGCCACUCUUGAGAGCAUCAAGGCCCGCCCCGUUAGCGGCAUCGGCAUGCAAGACAUGGUAUGCUAG